Molecule: long non-coding RNA, 172 nt
Organism: Tupaia belangeri chinensis (Chinese tree shrew)
Lineage: Eukaryota; Metazoa; Chordata; Mammalia; Scandentia; Tupaiidae
Exons: 3
Source: RefSeq, a predicted model, not a curated record
CUCAAGACAGAAAUACUAAACGGAAGAGGACUAAGUGUGACUGGCUAAGUACAUAAAGAAGACAAUGUGAUGAAUAUUCUGAUAGAUACGACAUAGCCGACCAGGAAGACGACCCUGAAGACCCUGAAGAGUUGUAACACCGCAUCGUCUCCAGAAGACCCUGAAGAGUUAU